This 253-nucleotide ribosomal RNA is filed under the name uncultured bacterium. RNAcentral's name for it is "partial 16S ribosomal RNA". It matches the Rfam family "Bacterial small subunit ribosomal RNA", at positions 524 to 776 of the family's 1533-position model. The record is from RNAcentral.
UACAGAGGUCCCGAGCGUUGUUCGGAUUCACUGGGCGUAAAGGGUGCGUAGGUGGUGAGGUAAGUCGGAUGUGAAAUCCCCGGGCUCAACCCGGGAACUGCGUCCGAUACUGGAAGGCUUGAAUCCGGGAGAGGGAUGUGGAAUUCCAGGUGUAGCGGUGAAAUGCGUAGAUAUCUGGAGGAACACCGGUGGCGAAGGCGACAUCCUGGACCGGUAUUGACGCUGAGGCGCGAAAGCCAGGGGAGCAAACGGG